Molecule: ribosomal RNA, 543 nt
Filed under: uncultured bacterium
Lineage: Bacteria
Description: bacterial SSU rRNA
Rfam family: Bacterial small subunit ribosomal RNA
Source: RNAcentral
AAUAGAUACCCAGGUAGUCCACCCCGUAAACGUUGGAACUAGUUGUGGGGUCCAUUCCACGGAUUCCGUGACGCAGCUAACGCAUUAAGUUCCCCGCCUGGGGAGUACGGCCGCAAGGCUAAAACUCAAAGGAAUUGACGGGGACCCGCACAAGCGGCGGAGCAUGCGGAUUAAUUCGAUGCAACGCGAAGAACCUUACCAAGGCUUGACAUAUACGAGAACGGGCCAGAAAUGGUCAACUCUUUGGACACUCGUAAACAGGUGGUGCAUGGUUGUCGUCAGCUCGUGUCGUGAGAUGUUGGGUUAAGUCCCGCAACGAGCGCAACCCUCGUUCUAUGUUGCCAGCACGUAAUGGUGGGAACUCAUGGGAUACUGCCGGGGUCAACUCGGAGGAAGGUGGGGAUGACGUCAAAUCAUCAUGCCCCUUAUGUCUUGGGCUUCACGCAUGCUACAAUGGCCGGUACAAAGGGCUGCAAUACCGCGAGGUGGAGCGAAUCCCAAAAAGCCGGUCCCAGUUCGGAUUGAGGUCUGCAACUCGACCUC